CAAAAUUAAAACGUAUUACAAAAACACAAACAGUAGUACGGUGCGCGGUUAAAAAAAAUAUAAGUACGAUCUAGGCGUUAUAAAAAGAACAAAUAUCGUGAAGACAAACUUAACAAAAAAACAUCACAAAGAAAAGGUCCAAGAGGGCCUUUUCUUGUUUUGUCGGCUUAUUCACCAGCUACUUCGUGAACUGCAACCACACGGCGACGUCUAACAUCCAAAAUCAACCAGACAGAAAGACCACCCAACAUAACCUCGCCGGAAGGCUAUCGGCUGUGGCCAUCCGGUGGCGCUAAGACCGCUUGAUAACCUAGUUUGGGCCAUUACGAGGUUAACGAAGAAGGCAAGGCUAAAAACAUAACCUUGUCGGGCUAUUACGAGGGUAUCGGAAAGAUCAUCCGGUACAACAAGGCCAGAAUCACAAAUCGCAACUUGCCAGCUCUUCCGGGACGCCGGAUAGAGUCUACUGUGAAUUCCGGAUUGCUGGUGGAAAAAUCAACAUAAGAUGGGAACCGCUGUCCCCAUAUGGUUCCAAUCAACCAUCGUUGUCCGCCGAUCCAGCUGCCGCUAGUAGUUCCUGAUAAAUUCCGUGCACAAAACCUAACCGCAAGUAUGCCUUAUAUGUGACGUCACCCCUGAAAAACUAUGUAAAUAAAACCCCCCACAUUAUGUAAAAUUUGAAAUCAGGUAGAAUACUUUACUGGAAUACUUUGUUAUUUUACACCUUAUCGAAAAUCGUUCUUUCAAUCCUUCCCUCUUAACA
Uranotaenia lowii is the source of this 763-nucleotide long non-coding RNA. RefSeq lists it as uncharacterized. The record is from RefSeq and is a predicted model, not a curated record. The transcript has 3 exons. Lineage: Eukaryota; Metazoa; Arthropoda; Insecta; Diptera; Culicidae.